Molecule: long non-coding RNA, 348 nt
Filed under: Homo sapiens (human)
Lineage: Eukaryota; Metazoa; Chordata; Mammalia; Primates; Hominidae
Description: non-protein coding lnc-BAIAP2L1-3:1
Source: RNAcentral
AUGACAAAGAAAAGAAGGAACAACGAUUAUGCCCAAAAGGGCCGUGAGCACGUGCAGUCUAUUCACUGCAUGAACUGUGCCUGACAUGUGCCCAAAGACAAGGCCAUUAGGAAAUUCAUCAUUGGGGCCAGGCGUGAGGCCACAGCAGUCAGGGACAUUUCUGAAGCGAGCGUCUUCAAUGCCUAUGUGCUUCCCAAGCUAUAUCUGAAGCUGUGUUACUGUGUGGGUUGUGCCAUUCACAGCAAAGUAGUCAGGAAUUGAUCUCGUGAAGCCCUCAAGGACCAAACACCCCCACCCCGAUUUAGACCUGGGGGUGCUGCCCCAUGACCCCCACCAAAGCCCAUAUAA